UUUGAUAGCUUUGAGGUUUUUUGACAACCAAAAUCGACAAAUUGUCUGUGCCCCUCUAUACUGAAGGACUCUGAUUAUAAUGAAGUAGAUAGAGCUGAGUGCCAAUUUUCUACAACUUCAACUGUACUUGACAAUGGAUCACAGAGUACUCCCUUUCAUCCACCAAAGAACACCAUAAAUGGUUUCUUCGAAUCCAUUGAAAGCCUCUGGAAUGAACUGUGGAAGGAUUUGAAAGAUUUCAUUACUGGACAAACUUGCAGGCUCCAGUUAAUUAUUUUGCUUGAUUAUUGUUGAUUGCAAGAGGAAAUGGACAAGAGUUGGAUAACAAAGGACAGACUUUCAAAAGAGUAUGA
This is a long non-coding RNA of Humulus lupulus (European hop), 353 nucleotides long. RefSeq lists it as uncharacterized. NCBI's taxonomy places the organism in Eukaryota, Viridiplantae, Streptophyta, Magnoliopsida, Rosales, Cannabaceae. The record is from RefSeq and is a predicted model, not a curated record. The transcript is spliced from 5 exons.